GUGGGGAAUAUUGGACAAUGGCCGGAAGGCUGAUCCAGCCAUGCCGCGUGAAGGAUAAGGUCCUAUGGAUUGUAAACUUCUUUUGAGUGGGAGCAAUAAGGAUGUCGUGACAUCCGAUGAGAGUACCAUUCGAAUAAGCAUCGGCUAACUCCGUGCCAGCAGCCGCGGUAAUACGGAGGAUGCGAGCGUUAUCCGGAUUUAUUGGGUUUAAAGGGUGCGUAGGCGGUUUGUCAAGUCAGCGGUGAAACGCAAGGGCUCAACCCUUGACCUGCCGUUGAAACUGAUUGACUAGAAUGCGGAUGCUGUGGGAGGAAUGUGUGGUGUAGCGGUGAAAUGCAUAGAUAUCACACAGAACACCGAUUGCGAAGGCAUCUCACAAAUCCGUGAUUGACGCUGAGGCACGAAAGUGUGGGGAUCAAACAGG
RNAcentral lists this ribosomal RNA (424 nucleotides) under uncultured rumen bacterium. Its description in RNAcentral is "bacterial SSU rRNA". It matches the Rfam family "Bacterial small subunit ribosomal RNA", at positions 354 to 776 of the family's 1533-position model. The record is from RNAcentral.